RNAcentral lists this unclassified non-coding RNA (376 nucleotides) under soil metagenome. Its description in RNAcentral is "partial contains 5.8S ribosomal RNA, internal transcribed spacer 2, and large subunit ribosomal RNA". The stretch from base 1 to 120 matches the Rfam family "5.8S ribosomal RNA", at positions 35 to 154 of the family's 154-position model. The record is from RNAcentral.
GAUGAAGAACGCAGCGAAAUGCGAUAAGUAAUGUGAAUUGCAGAAUUCAGUGAAUCAUCGAAUCUUUGAACGCAUCUUGCGCUCCUUGGUAUUCUGAGGAGCAUGCCUGUUUGAGUGUCAUUAAAUUCUCAACUACACUGACUUUGAAUUGGUGUGGCUUGGAUUUGUGGGGAAAAUUGUUGUGGGCUUUUUGUAUAGUCUGCUCCCCUGAAAUUGAUUAGCGGUACCUUUGUGGAACUGUCUACAGGUGUGAUAAUUAUCUACAUCUUAGACAUCUGCUGGAAUGCUGCUUUCUAAACCUUACUUGUAUUGACAAUCUUGACCUCAAAUCAGGUAGGACUACCCGCUGAACUUAAGCAUAUCAAUAAGCGGAGGA